AAUAUUGCACAAUGGAGGAAACUCUGAUGCAGCGACGCCGCGUGAACGAUGAAGGCCUUCGGGUCGUAAAGUUCUGUCCUAGGGGACGAUAAUGACGGUACCCUAGGAGGAAGCCCCGGCUAACUACGUGCCAGCAGCCGCGGUAAUACGUAGGGGGCAAGCGUUGUCCGGAUUUAUUGGGCGUAAAGGGUGCGCAGGCGGCCUUUUAAGUCAGGUGUGAAAGCCAUAGGCUCAACCUAUGUUAGCACUUGAAACUGGAAGGCUUGAGUUAAGGAGAGGAAAGUGGAAUUCCUAGUGUAGCGGUGAAAUGCGUAGAUAUUAGGAGGAAUACCAGUGGCGAAGGCGACUUUCUGGACUUAUACUGACGCUGAGGCACGAAAGCGUGGGGAGCGAACAG
Molecule: ribosomal RNA, 397 nt
Filed under: uncultured bacterium
Lineage: Bacteria
Description: partial 16S ribosomal RNA
Rfam family: Bacterial small subunit ribosomal RNA
Source: RNAcentral